CUUCCCUCCCCUCCCUUCACUGUUCGUAGCUCGUAGAUCUGACCCCUGUCUGAUCGAAAUUUUGUUAGGUUUGCUGUUGAUAGGUUCGUGUUGAUGUGUGCUAUUUGAAACCCUACAUCUUCCAUCUGUUCCGUGUUCUUGCGAUUUGGAACCCUAGGACCUUGAUUUGAUGGUUUGUAUGUGAGUGGAUUUGAAGGAGACGACUACCCAGUAGGAGUAGUAACCUUCUAUGAAGGGAUUGUGUUUGAUUGGUGGAAGCUGUGCCCAUGUCGUGAAGCCUUGGUAGAUUGAUCUGGAUCCCCUGCCAUAUUUUAAUAGUGAUUCACUUUUUUAUGCAUUUUCCAUAACCUGAGUAAAGUUUCACAGUCCACAUUUAUUUGCUUCUACAUGUGUUUAUCUAUCUAGGAUCGCUGAAAAUGAAGGCUGGUGAUGGUGACCUUGAGUUUAUGCAUUUUCAAUGAACCUGAGUAAAGUUUAACAGUCCACAUUUAUUUACUUGUACAUUUGUUUAUCUAUCUAGGAUCGCUGAAGAUGAGGCCUGUGGAUGGCGACCUUCAGCUUACAUUUGGGGCUGAUGGGAAUGUGGUGGCCCGUUUUGUCAAGACUCAAAUUCCC
RNAcentral lists this long non-coding RNA (615 nucleotides) under Hordeum vulgare. Its description in RNAcentral is "long non-coding RNA (HVUL_LNC020824)". The record is from RNAcentral. Lineage: Eukaryota; Viridiplantae; Streptophyta; Magnoliopsida; Poales; Poaceae.